CCUACGGGAGGCAGCAGUAGGGAAUCUUUCACAAUGGGCGAAAGCCUGAUGGAGCAACGCCGCGUGCAGGAUGAAGGCCUUCGGGUUGUAAACUGCUUUUAUAAGCGAGAAAUAUGAUGGUAACUUAUGAAUAAGGAUCGGCUAACUACGUGCCAGCAGCCGCGGUCAUACGUAGGAUCCGAGCAUUAUCCGGAGUGACUGGGUGUAAAGAGUUGCGUAGGUGGCAUAAUAAGUAGCUAGUGAAAUCUGGUGGCUCAACCAUUCAGACUAUUAGCUAAACUAUUAAGCUCGAGACCGUUAGGGGUAACUGGAAUUUCUAGUGUAGGAGUGAAAUCCGUAGAGAUUAGAAGGAACACCAAUAGCGUAGGCAGGUUGCUGGGACGGUUCUGACACUAAGGCACGAAAGCGUAGGGAGCAAACGGGAUUAGAUACCCGGGUAGUC
RNAcentral lists this ribosomal RNA (442 nucleotides) under uncultured bacterium. Its description in RNAcentral is "partial 16S ribosomal RNA". It matches the Rfam family "Bacterial small subunit ribosomal RNA", at positions 338 to 795 of the family's 1533-position model. The record is from RNAcentral.